Panicum virgatum (switchgrass) is the source of this 5268-nucleotide long non-coding RNA. RefSeq lists it as uncharacterized. NCBI's taxonomy places the organism in Eukaryota, Viridiplantae, Streptophyta, Magnoliopsida, Poales, Poaceae. The transcript has 4 exons. The record is from RefSeq and is a predicted model, not a curated record.
GAAAUAGGAGGUUUUGAAAAAUAUUUUUUCCCCUUUUUCUUUGUCACAAGUCUCCUGGCCGGCACGGCGGCCGACGAGGUCCCGGCGUCCCACUGGCAUCGGCGGGCGCCGGCAACCCCAUCGCGACGCGCCUCAUGCACCUUUCUGUAGACCGAACACACACCCAGGGAUUUUGCCGGUACCCGCAACAUUUGCUGCAUGCUCUGCUCGCCGGCCGCCCGGCCGGGCUUCAAGCAUCACACUCACAACGGAAGUAUACAGUAGCGGCUCCUUCCUCUCCGGCCACCACCACCCGCGCGCCGUGCUCUUGCAUCCCGAGCUUAUUCCCUAGAGCCGUCACGGACGGCCUCGGGCUCUUCGGUGCAAUGCUGAUCCAUGUGGCGCGGAACGAGGCGCCGCGGAAGCAGCGCGCUCAGGCUGUUCGACGAAAUGCGGCUGAGGACGUCGGCACCCAAGUGGCGUUCCUUCUGUAACAAGGGCGGCUGUCCUAAGGUUGCCCCGGGCGCAACGGGAGUGGGCAAGCUGAGGAACAUUCCAGGCUUCUGCGGUAUGCGGCAGUUUGUGGCUGCGUGCUGCAAGCCUUCAAAAUGGAUUUUCUUUUUCACCAUGCCUGACUCCUCUUGCAUGGCCAGUAUUGAUGCUUUCCAGCCAUGAGACUACUUCCAUGAUAGGUGGCCUCAUGCUAGGGUUAUAGUUCACACAUUUGCAAGCAACCUCAAGCACCAUAAGCAUUUGCUCUUCGUGCCCUGUGCCACAGAGUGUUGGAUCCAGGACCUCUAUCUGCUUUCCCUGAGACCUCAUCUCCAGCACCCAUGAGACAAGUUCUUUUGAUGUCGACAGGACUGGAACAGGUCGCAUACCUGUGAGCAGCUCAAGCAGGACAACUCCAAAGCUGUAUAUAUCGCCUCUCAGAGUAGCUACCCAUCCUUGCCCAUACUCAGGAGGAAUGUAACCAAGAGUGCCAACCAACUCGGUCGUGACAUGAGUUUUGUUGGGAAGGAUCAAUCUUGACAGCCCGAAAUCUGCAACAUGAGCUUUUAAUUCCUUGUCAAGUAGGAUGUUACUGGAUUUGAUGUCACGGUGGACAAUAUGAGGCUUGCAGACAUUAUGGAUAUAAGAAAGGCCACAACUUGCUCCUUGUGCAAUCCUGAGCCUCGUCGGCCAGUCAAGAAAUGUACUGGCAUCGUCGUCCCUAUUGUGAAGCCAAUCGUCCAGACUGCCAUUCUCCAUAAAGGAGUAUAUGAGGAACCUUGAGUUUCCCUGGAUGCCGUAUCCCCACAGAGGCACAAGAUGGUCAUGAUGUGCCAUGGACAGCGCUUCAACCUCUGCAUUGAACUCCCUUUCCAUCACGCACAUUUCACCAUUGAGCUUCUUGAUGGCGAGCAUGCUGCCAUCAGGCAGCUCAGCUUUAUAGACAAGCCCAUAACCACCGCACCCAAUGAUGUGCUCCUGAUCGAAGUUAUUUGUAGCUUCCACGAUGUCAGAGAAUGUGAGCUUCUUUUUGUCUCCCCUGAUUUGUGGCAUCAUGAUCAGCUCGUGCUCUGAGCUGGAGUCAAAUGAAGUUGUUUGAACAUCUAUAUUAUCCUCCCUUCUAUUUUUGGAUUUUAAACACUUCAACCUGAUUAGGACAAGGAGAAGCCCCAGCAACAGAACAAUGGCAAUCCCUGCAAAGAACACGCCCAAUGUAAUUGCAAAAAUUGCCUUCCUUUUUCUUCCUUUUGUGAAGGCUGGAUGUGCUUGAGCUGAAAUGCAUUGAUAAACUAGCAUAGAGCCACACAACUUUGGGUUCCCAUAAAAGCUAGAAUUCUGAAAUGUGCUAAAUUGGCCACCAGUUGGAAUAGGCCCUUCGAGGUUAUUAUUAGAAACAUUGAAUGUGGCAAGGAAGUGCAGGUUCUCCAAUGCAGCUGGGAUUUCACCUGUGAGAUUGUUGUUGGAUAAAUCUAGCACCUCCAGGUUUGUGAGAUUACCGAUGGAUGGGGGCACCGGUCCUGUUAAGUUGUUGCAGCUGAUAUCGAGUGAAAUGAGGGCUUUCAGCUGACCAAUCUCUGGGGGAAUCACACCCGUGACUUUGUUACUGCUUAGAUUUAGCACUUUAGGAAAAGCGAUCGGUUUACGGUAUUGAAGUGAUGGACCUUCAUAAACUGGCAGAUCAAAGAUCCUUGGGUCCAAAUGAGCUGCAGUCUCUGAAGUUAACAUUGGCAUAGUCAUCAGUGCUCUUGGAAUUUCCCCUGUAAGGCUAUUGCUUGAUAUGUCUAAAUAGAAAAGGAAUCCCAAUGUGUUGAUCCAGGUUGGUAUUGGUCCACUGAGUCUAUUACCCUGCAAAAAUAACAUCUCCAAAUUUGCUAGCUCCGAUAUCCAAAAAGGCAUUUUCCCUGACAAUAGGCAAUCAGGAAUGGCCAAAACCUGAAGAUUGUUAAAACCAUCGAUUGUGGCAUCAUCCGGCAUGGUCUCGUUCAUGAAAUUUAGCCCAAGAAGAAGGGUGGUGAGGUUCUUGGAGCGUUGUAGUAUCUGAAGUGCAUUUGUUAUAUUUGAAAAACUGUUGUUUGUGAGCGACAGGAAGGAGAGGGAUUUCAGAUUGCCUAGUCCUUCUGAUAGCUGUCCAUGGAACUUAUUUGAAGACAGCCGUAGUGCAAUCAGGUUUCUGCAUGAGUAUAUGCUUUCUGGAAUUGUGCCGCUGAAGUUGUUCCGCAUAAUAUCUAAGGUUUUUAAAUUGGGAAAGUUGGAGAAAUUAACCUUGUUGAGCUCACCGCUGAAAAUGUUGCUCUUAAGGUCAAUUGUUAUGAGAUUUUUGCAGUUACUGAGAGUCGAUGGCAGCUCCCCAGACAUGCUGUUGUAGUUCAGAUGGAGUUCCUGCAAUCUCUUGAGUUGACCUAUGGAGUCUGGAAUCAUGCCGCUGAAUUUGUUUUCUCCAAGAUCGAGGAUGGCCAUAUUGCUGAGUUUGAUUAUAUGUGUGCCAUUAAGUGUUCCAUGUAAACCAUUGCUGGAAAAAGAAAGAUGCUCCAACAAGGUAGCGUUGAAGAGUUCUUCAGGGAGAAUUCCACUGAGGUUGUUGUGUCCAGCCUUGAGCACUCUGAGCUUGGAGCAAUUACCGAGUCCUGGGGGGAUACCACCACUGAGCUUGUUGUAACAGAGUUCUAGGACAGCAAAGGAUGGUGAUAUGUUACAGAAAUGACUAGGAAUCUGCCCAGUAAAGCUGUUGUUGCUGGCAUUGAGUGCGAUCAAAUUCUCCAUCCCCUUCAAUGUUGUGGAAGUAAACUCCCCUGUAAACAAGUUGCUGGAAAUGUUAAGUACCUGUAGAGAGUGGCCAUGGGCUGAAGAUGGCAGCUCAUGCAGGUCUCCAUUGAGCUGGUUGAAGCUGACGUCAAGGACAAUGAUGCUGCUGGAUGUCACCAAUCCCGGCGGCAGGCCACCGGACAGUGAAUUGUAGGACAAGUUCAGGUGCUGCAGGCCGGUGAGGUUCCCAAGGGACUGCGAGAUACGGCCCUCAAGGCCCUUGUAAUUCAGCGAGACAGUGGUGACUGUCCCAUUUUGGUUGCAGGCAAUUCCUUCCCAUUUGCAGCAGUCAUUACCUUGCCAAAACUUGGUGAGGUCGGCAUCCUGCGAGAGCUCUGUGAGGAACUGGAGGAGGGAGGUUCUCUCCAGCUCUGUGCAGGAACUGGCACAGGACACCAAGGAGAUGAGCAGAACAAGGGCAAGGCCAAUGGAAGGAUGAUGGUGGCGAACAAGAAAAUGUGCUCAUUUUCGAAAGAAGCUGAAGAUCUGCAAGAUUCGAUUGUUAAGAGGCAGUAGGACACGGAAAGCAUCAUUCCGGGAGGCGCUGAUAAUAAUUUAGAGCAAUCAUCGGCGUCGCGGUCAAGGUGUGGACGCUGCUUGGAAAAUAGAAGGCGCAAGUGGAGGCAAGAAAACAAGAGAGACACAUGUACUGGAGGUGGUGGGUGAGGGUGACCUGGUGCCCUAUUCUUCUGGUUCCUGACCUUGGUGGCUUGGCUCGAGGCGUUUACUUCUUUGGUACCUUGCUGAUGAUGCAGUGAUGUGCACGCCUGGAGCUGCUUUCCAUGGCCCCGUUGCACAGAUGCGCGAUGGAUCUUGUCUCUUCUUGCUGACCCAGUGACCCCUGACCGGAAUUCAAGAGGGCUCGACGUGAACCGGAUAGCGUGUGAUUUCUGAUGGAUCAGAGAGAGAGAGAAAUAGUUGAGUUUUGAAGCACCCCUGGAGAGUGCCACAGUGGAUAUCUUGAAUGCCUGAACUUGUGAACACGGCCUAUCGAUGAACUUUUAUCCAGGUAGUGAUGCUAAAAUUUUGUUAUUUUUUUGUGGGGCGUCGUCUUACUCAGUUUCAACUUUCAAGAGUUAUCUGUCGAGAUUAUGUUGAUGGUGCUUGCUUGGUUAGUGGGCGCAGUUCCACAUUAUAAGUUGCUCUUUAGUGGUUGCUGAAUGAUUAUCUGUCAGCACGGGUUGGCUGUACUUUCCUUGCGGUGUUGAUUGCAGGACAGCAAAGUUUGCGGCAGCACUAAGCCCUGUCGAGGCUCCAAGUUAUCCUUUUUUUUUUGAGGGGUCAAGGCUCCAAGAUUUCGCUGAAAGCGGAUUCUAAUUCUACCUUUGCGACGAGGCUGCUGAGCUGGCGCUGCAUCCCUCGCUGUCUGUCUGCUCGUUUCUGCACAAUACUCUUAUUUUUUUGGAGGGAGUUUCUGCACAAUACUCGUAUUCGGUUCGGUGCCAGCAAAAGAUUGAGGUUUGAGCGCGUGGCAGGUCCAGAGCUGAAGCCGAAUGGCGUGCCGGCAGGAAAGCGGUACCGGAAUCCACGGCGGCCAGGUCAGUCAGCUGGUGGGCGUCCGCUGCGUGCGCCGUACGCGUCCAGACCAUGGCAACGCGAGCGGCGGCAACGGCAUGCGCGUGGGCGUGGGCACGCGGCCCCCCCGGCUUGCCUCGGGCUCCGUUCACACCGCCCCCGCACGGCGAGACAGAAACCGGCGGCGACGACGAGGACGAGCACGAAGACCGGACGCGCGUAUCCGCUGCGGCCGGACGCGCUGUCCGUGUCGCGUUCGGGCUCCGUUCUCUUCUCUUCUCUUCCCCCCGUCCUGUCGUGUUUGCUGACGCAUCAGGAAUGGAUCCAGGACCAAGAGCGCGUCGUCGGUCGCUCUUCAAAGUCCGAGCUCUGAAAACGGCAAGGCGGCGGCGUCCACAAGUAGAACUGCGGGUUCACACUGCAUCUAGAGGGCCUUAAACUUUGAUCUAGAUAAUUUUGAUUUAAAAAUAUGAAGACCAA